UCCCUAGUAGCUCAGUUGGUAAAGAAUCUGCCUCCAAUGCAGGAGAGCCAGGUUCGAUCCCUGGGUCGGGAA
Molecule: transfer RNA, 72 nt
Filed under: Bos taurus (domestic cattle)
Lineage: Eukaryota; Metazoa; Chordata; Mammalia; Artiodactyla; Bovidae
Also listed under: 5 other names
Rfam family: tRNA
About the family: Transfer RNA (tRNA) molecules are approximately 80 nucleotides in length. Their secondary structure includes four short double-helical elements and three loops (D, anti-codon, and T loops).
Source: Rfam by way of RNAcentral